Molecule: long non-coding RNA, 460 nt
Filed under: Homo sapiens (human)
Lineage: Eukaryota; Metazoa; Chordata; Mammalia; Primates; Hominidae
Description: non-protein coding lnc-REG3A-3:1
Source: RNAcentral
GUUAUACAUCUCUACCAUUACCUAGCCUGAAAAGCCACCUCAGAUUCAGCCAACAAAGAUUGCUGAUUUGCUCCUUAAGCAAGAGAUUCACUGCUGCUCAGCAUGGCUCAGACCAACUCAUGCUUCAUGCUGAUCUCCUGCCUGAUGUUCCUGUCUCUGAGCCAAGGUGAGAUUGUUUUCCCCACACAUACCUCCCACAACCCCAGCCCUGAAGCCCUCACUCUAUCCUCAUGCAUAUGAGUUCACUUGAGAAAAAGCAGAGUCAAGUUCAGGGGUUGUCUUGUGUUGUUCAGUGAUAUUUAUUGCUGAUCUCAUCCCAUUCAAAAACAUCCUGACCUCCCUAAGGAGUUAGAGAUGGAACUUAGCAUAACCCUUUAUCAGUGACCACUGCAGUUGGCAUUGGUUUGUCAUAUUAACACUACUCAUGAUGGGGGGGUUGAGGAUGUCUGUUUGUAGACAG